AUAAACCCGCGCCACUUUAUCCUUCAAUAGAAUUAAACCCAAAAUCAUUUCAAAAUCCCGGGUCAUAUCCGAAAUCGCUUAUGCUUCCCGCCCUCAAAUCACAUAAACACAUACAAAUAUUCUGUUUCACUUUAAAACCCUCCUCUUUUUCUUAUGAACUUUUUCCUCACAUUUUCGUAUUCAUUUGAUCAUUUCCUCUUCGAUUCUCAACAGAUUUAAGCUGAAUUCGGGUUUUUUUUCCCCAUAAUAUUUCAGAAUGAGCGGAGAUAAUUUUACGGACGGAAUACCCAAAUUCCGUUCAAUUUUGGGUGACAUUACAAAUCGAUCAGUUAAAAGGGGGUUUUCGUCGAUUUCGGAUAAUGUAGGGUUUAAUUCCAAAGAAGAAGCAAGUUACCGAUUUACAAAACAAGUUUGUUUAAGAGAAGAAAAUCCGAUCCAAGAGAAUCCUAAACCCCCCCAAUUCGAACCAAACCCUAAUACUUCUUCUACUUGUAGUGGGGAAACUGAUACAUCCAAAGAGGGUUUGGUGCCGGUUAAUGAGAAAGUUAGCGAGGUUAUAGAACGGUUUGAUUUGUCUGAUAGUGACGAUAGAUUAGAUCAAGGUGAAGGCAUUACACAAGCAAGGGGUACAUUGAAUGAUAGUUGUAGGAAUGAUAGUAGGGAUCUUGGCGUUGGUAGACUAGCGUCGAGUGAAGGUGGGUGUGUCGAGUGGUUAAGGUUGCCUAAGUCUUCGUCGCAAGGUUUUCGAUCAUUUGAGCUGGAGAGGUGCGUGGGACUCAAGAAUGAUGGUUCUAAUUUGAAUGCUGGUGCGGAUAUGCUGAAAGCUUGCUCUUGUUCUUUUUGUUUGAAAGCUGCUUAUAUUUGGUCGGACCUUCAUUAUCAAGAUACCAAGGGUCGAAUAGCUGUUUUGAAGAGAAGUCAGAAAGAAGCAAGCAUUUUGGUUCAGAAAAGUUGCAGUGGGAAAGAAACUGACAUUCAAAACCUGGGAAAUCCCAACAAGUCUUCAAAAUUAGUAUCUGAUCUCACAAGUCAGUGGAGAUCACUCUUUCUUAACAUGGAGGAUAUAUUUGUUCAUGAAAGCAACCAGCUUGUGGUCCUAUGUUCUAUCCUGGCGAGGAGAUGCACUUUCACGUAACAAAGCUUCGAGGGAUUGGUGGGUGUCUAAAAAAGAUAAUACUGGGUGGUCCUAAGAUGUGGUGCAACGUGGCCCAGGGAAUGAAAGUACUUUCCCGGUUGGCCGCAAGCCAGUUACAUUCAACUAAAAGAUUUGAGGGACAAUUGCAAGAUGGAUCUGGAGCAGAUAACAGGGAUGCCUUCAGAGAGAUAGGAGUGUGCUUGCAAUGUUUGUUAUGAAUGUAAGAUCUCCCUGCUACUCUAAUUUCGAGCAACUUGUAUUUGUAUGUUUGCACAUGCAUUUGCCUAUAACAACAUUAUAUAGCUUCUUUCGUUAUCCUUAAUGUGUUGUCAAAAACUGUAAAAUGUAUGAUCUCAGUUUAUGAUUCCUUUUGUUUUCUAA
RNA transcript from Gossypium raimondii (Peruvian cotton), 1516 nucleotides. RefSeq lists it as uncharacterized. NCBI's taxonomy places the organism in Eukaryota, Viridiplantae, Streptophyta, Magnoliopsida, Malvales, Malvaceae. The record is from RefSeq and is a predicted model, not a curated record. The transcript is spliced from 6 exons.